RNAcentral lists this ribosomal RNA (468 nucleotides) under uncultured bacterium. Its description in RNAcentral is "partial 16S ribosomal RNA". It matches the Rfam family "Bacterial small subunit ribosomal RNA", at positions 28 to 507 of the family's 1533-position model. The record is from RNAcentral.
GACGAACGCUGGCGGCGUGCUUAACACAUGCAGGUCGAACGGAAAGGCCCUGCUUUUGUGGGGUGCUCGAGUGGCGAACGGGUGAGUAACACGUGAGUAACCUGCCCUUGACUUUGGGAUAACUUCAGGAAACUGGGGCUAAUACCGGAUAGGAGCUCCUGCCGCAUGGUGGGGGUUGGAAAGUUUCGGCGGUUGGGGAUGGACUCGCGGCUUAUCAGCUUGUUGGUGGGGUAGUGGCUUACCAAGGCUUUGACGGGUAGCCGGCCUGAGAGGGUGACCGGCCACAUUGGGACUGAGAUACGGCCCAGACUCCUACGGGAGGCAGCAGUGGGGAAUAUUGCACAAUGGGCGGAAGCCUGAUGCAGCAACGCCGCGUGCGGGAUGACGGCCUUCGGGUUGUAAACCGCUUUCGCCUGUGACGAAGCGUGAGUGACGGUAAUGGGUAAAGAAGCACCGGCUAACUACGUG